CAGUAGCCGCGGUAAGACGGAGGGUGCUAGCGUUGUUCGGAAUCACUGGGCGUAAAGGGCGCGUAGGCGGCCUGUUAAGUCGGAUGUGAAAGCCCGGGGCUCAACCCCGGAACUGCAUCCGAGACUGGCAGGCUUGAGACCGGGAGAGGAGGGUGGAAUAUCCAGUGUAGAGGUGAAAUUCGUAGAUAUUGGAUGGAACACCGGUGGCGAAAGCGGCUCUCUGGGCCGUAACUGACGCUGAGGAGCGAAAGCGUGGGGAGCAAACAGGAUUAGAUACCCCCGUAGUCCCUGUCUCUUAUAC
RNAcentral lists this ribosomal RNA (301 nucleotides) under uncultured bacterium. Its description in RNAcentral is "partial 16S ribosomal RNA". It matches the Rfam family "Bacterial small subunit ribosomal RNA", at positions 509 to 807 of the family's 1533-position model. The record is from RNAcentral.